CGCAUCUGUGCAUGCAGCAUAUCAAUAAGCGGAGGAAAAGAAACUAACAAGGAUUCCCCUAGUAACGGCGAGUGAAGCGGGAAGAGCUCAAAUUUGAAAUCUUAAAGGGUUUCCCUUUACGAAUUGUAGUUUAAAGAAGUGUUUUCUGUUGAGGUUUUGGUAAAAGUUCUUUGGAAUAGGACAUCAUAGAGGGUGAGAAUCCCGUAUUUGACCUUUACUUUCAACUUUGUGAUACACUUUCAAAGAGUCGGAUUGUUUGGGAAUGCAGUCCAAAAUGGGUGGUAAAUUUCAUCUAAAGCUAAAUAUUGGCGAGAGACCGAUAGCGAACAAGUACCGUGAGGGAAAGAUGAAAAGAACUUUGAAAAGAGAGUUAAACAGUACGUGAAAUUGUCAAAGGGAAGCGUUUGACACCAGUGUUGUUUUCUGAAAAUCAAUUAAAGAACUGUUUAUGCUAAGUUGUUUAGACUUUAUCAGCUAACUGUUUAGUUUUGAGCUUUUCUUUAAUGCACUUUUCAGUUAACAAGUCAACAUCAAUUUCUUUUGCUGUAAAAAAGCUUGAGGAAGGUGGCUUGAGAUUCGUCUUAAGUGUUUAUAGCCUCUUGCCUAUGCAGUCGGAGAGAUUGAGGUCUGCAGCGUAGAUCCUUCGGGGCUAAAUGCAUUUGUGCUAAGUUAUAGCAUUUUAUAGACAACUUGUUGACUAUGAUUUGUCUUGUAGCUUACUCGCUUAUGUUAUUUUACCUACGCUUAGGAUGUUGAACGCGCACAGAGUCUC
Molecule: ribosomal RNA, 772 nt
Filed under: uncultured Neocallimastigales
Lineage: Eukaryota; Fungi; Neocallimastigomycota; Neocallimastigomycetes; Neocallimastigales
Description: partial large subunit ribosomal RNA
Rfam family: Eukaryotic large subunit ribosomal RNA
Source: RNAcentral